AGUGAACGCUGGCGGUAGGCCUAACACAUGCAAGUCGAACGGUAGCACAGUAAGAGCUUGCUCUUACGGGUGGCGAGUGGCGGACGGUUGAGGAAUACAGCGGAAUCUACUUUUUCGUUGGGGUUACGCAGGGGAACGUAUGCCUAUAACGGAUUCGACCUACGGGUUAAAGCGGUGGGUCUUCGGAACUUGCGGGUUUGGAGGAGGCGCUGUUGGAUUAGCUGGUUGGUGGGGUGAAGGUCCACCAAGGCGACGACCCGUAGGUGGCGGGAGAGGAGGAUCGGCGACACUGGAACUGAGACACGGUCCAGACGCCUACGGGAGGCAGCAGUGGGGAAGAUUGGACAAUGGGGGGAGGCCUGAUCCAGCAGUGCCGCGUGGGUGAGGAAGGCCUUCGGGUUGUAGAGACCUUUUGUUGGGAAAGAAGAGCAGCAGGUUAAUACCCCGCUGUUUUGACGGUACCCAAAGAAUAAGCACCGGCUAACUUCGUG
Molecule: ribosomal RNA, 491 nt
Filed under: uncultured bacterium
Lineage: Bacteria
Description: partial 16S ribosomal RNA
Rfam family: Bacterial small subunit ribosomal RNA
Source: RNAcentral